RNAcentral lists this ribosomal RNA (419 nucleotides) under bacterium. RNAcentral describes it as "partial 16S ribosomal RNA". It matches the Rfam family "Bacterial small subunit ribosomal RNA", at positions 355 to 776 of the family's 1533-position model. The record is from RNAcentral.
UGGGGGAUAUUGCACAAUGGGCGAAAGCCUGAUGCAGCGACGCCGCGUGGGGGAUGAAGGCCUUCGGGUUGUAAACUUCUUUUGCUCUGAACAAGGCGCACCAUGGGGUGUGUUGAGUGUAGGGGUUGAUUAGCGCCGGCUAACUACGUGCCAGCAGCCGCGGUAAUACGUAGGGCGCGAGCGUUGUCCGGAAUUAUUGGGCGUAAAGGGCUUGUAGGUGACUGGUUGCGUCUGUCGUGAAAGCUCAUGGCUUAACUGUGGGUUUGCGGUGGGUACGGGCUGGCUUGAGUGCAGUAGGGGAGGCUGGAAUUCCUGGUGUAGCGGUGGAAUGCGCAGAUAUCAGGAGGAAUACCGGUGGCGAAGGCGGGUCUCUGGGCUGUUACUGACACUGAGGAGCGAAAGCAUGGGGAGCGAACAGG